Molecule: ribosomal RNA, 253 nt
Filed under: uncultured bacterium
Lineage: Bacteria
Description: partial 16S ribosomal RNA
Rfam family: Bacterial small subunit ribosomal RNA
Source: RNAcentral
UACGUAGGCAGCGAGCGUUGUUCGGAGUUACUGGGCGUAAAGAGUGCGUAGGCGGUUUUCUAAGUUUGGUGUGAAAUCUCCCGGCUUAACUGGGAGGGUGCGCCGAAGACUGGAAGGCUUGAGUAUGGGAGAGGUAAGCGGAAUUCCUGGUGUAGCGGUGAAAUGCGUAGAUAUCAGGAAGAACACCCGUGGCGAAGGCGGCUCUCUGGGACGGUACUGACGCUGAGACGCGAAAGCGUGGGGAGCAAACAGG